Molecule: ribosomal RNA, 644 nt
Filed under: uncultured bacterium
Lineage: Bacteria
Description: bacterial SSU rRNA
Rfam family: Bacterial small subunit ribosomal RNA
Source: RNAcentral
CACGGCGCACGGGUGCGUAACACGUGGGCAAUCUGCCCUUUGAUGGGGAAUAACCCGCCGAAAGGCGGGCUAAUUCCGCAUAAGAUUCCCGGAACUUCGGUUCUGGGAUUGAAAGCAGCAAUGCGUCGAAGGAGGAGCCCGCGCCCGAUUAGCUAGUUGGUGAGGUAACGGCUCACCAAGGCUAUGAUCGGUAGCUGGUCUGAGAGGAUGAUCAGCCACACUGGAACUGAGACACGGUCCAGACUCCUACGGGAGGCAGCAGUGGGGAAUCUUGCACAAUGGGCGAAAGCCUGAUGCAGCGACGCCGCGUGGGGGAUGAAGCAUUUCGGUGUGUAAACCCCUUUCGACUGGGAAGAAUACCUCGCAAGAGGGGUGACGGUACCAGUAGAAGAAGCCCCGGCUAACUACGUGCCAGCAGCCGCGGUAAAACGUAGGGGGCCAGCGUUGCUCGGAAUUACUGGGCGUAAAGGGUCCGUAGGCGGUGUGGCAAGUCGGUAGUGAAAUCUCUAGGCUUAACCUAGAGGCUGCUGCCGAAACUGCCGUGCUAGAGUGUGAGAGAGGCGAGUGGAAUUACGGGUGUAGCGGUGAAAUGCGUAGAUAUCCGUAGGAACAUCCGAGGCGAAAGCGGCUCGCUGGAUCACAAC